RNAcentral lists this ribosomal RNA (510 nucleotides) under uncultured bacterium. RNAcentral describes it as "partial 16S ribosomal RNA". It matches the Rfam family "Bacterial small subunit ribosomal RNA", at positions 28 to 507 of the family's 1533-position model. The record is from RNAcentral.
GACGAACGCUGGCGGCGUGCUUAACACAUGCAAGUCGAACGAAGAGCGAUGGAAGCUUGCUUCUAUCAAUCUUAGUGGCGAACGGGUGAGUAACGCGUAAUCAACCUGCCCUUCAGAGGGGGACAACAGUUGGAAACGACUGCUAAUACCGCAUACGAUCUAACCUCGGCAUCGAGGAUAGAUGAAAGGUGGCCUCUACAUGUAAGCUAUCACUGAAGGAGGGGAUUGCGUCUGAUUAGCUAGUUGGAGGGGUAACGGCCCACCAAGGCGAUGAUCAGUAGCCGGUCUGAGAGGAUGAACGGCCACAUUGGGACUGGGACACGGCCCAGACUCCUACGGGAGGCAGCAGUGGGGAAUCUUCCGCAAUGGACGAAAGUCUGACGGAGCAACGCCGCGUGAGUGAUGACGGCCUUCGGGUUGUAAAGCUCUGUUAAUCGGGACGAAAGGCCUUCUUGCGAAUAGUGAGAAGGAUUGACGGUACCGGAAUAGAAAGCCACGGCUAACUACGUG